This 254-nucleotide ribosomal RNA is filed under the name uncultured bacterium. Its description in RNAcentral is "partial 16S ribosomal RNA". It matches the Rfam family "Bacterial small subunit ribosomal RNA", at positions 524 to 776 of the family's 1533-position model. The record is from RNAcentral.
UACGUAGGGUGCAAGCGUUAAUCGGAAUUACUGGGCGUAAAGCGUGCGCAGGCGGUUUUGUAAGACCGAUGUGAAAUCCCCGGGCUUAACCUGGGAACUGCAUUUGUGACUGCAAGGCUAGAGUGUGUCAGAGGGAGGUGGAAUUCCGCGUGUAGCAGUGAAAUGCGUAGAGAUGCGGAGGAACACCGAUGGCGAAGGCAGCCUCCUGGGAUAACACUGACGCUCAUGCACGAAAGGCGUGGGGAGCAAACAGG